Molecule: ribosomal RNA, 289 nt
Filed under: Blastocystis sp.
Lineage: Eukaryota; Bigyra; Opalinata; Blastocystidae
Description: partial small subunit ribosomal RNA
Rfam family: Eukaryotic small subunit ribosomal RNA
Source: RNAcentral
GAUUAAGCCAUGCAUGUGUAAGUGUAAAUGUACUAGUUUGGAACUGCGAAUGGCUCAUUAUAUCAGUUAUAGUUUAUUUGGUGAAGUGUACUACUUGGAUAACCGUAGUAAUUCUAGGGCUAAUACAUGAGAAAGUCCUCUGGUGAGGUGUGUUUAUUAGAAUGAAAACCAUAUGCUUCGGCAUGAUAGUGAGUAAUAGUAACCUAUCGUAUCGCAUGCUUAAUGUAGCGAUGAGUCUUUCAAGUUUCUGCCCUAUCAGCUUUCGAUGGUAGUAUAUGGGCCUACCAUG